GAUCAUGGCUCAGGAUGAACGCUGGCGGCGUGCUUAACACAUGCAAGUCGAACGAAGCACUUGAGAUUGAUUCUUCGGAAGAUUUCUCUUGUGACUUAGUGGCGGACGGGUGAGUAACGCGUGGGUAACCUGCCUCGCACAGGGGGAUAACAGUUGGAAACGACCGCUAAUACCGCAUAACCCGCUAGGGCCGCAUGGCCCGGACGGAAAAGAUUUAUCGGUGUGAGAUGGACCCGNGUUGGAUUAG
Molecule: ribosomal RNA, 247 nt
Filed under: uncultured bacterium
Lineage: Bacteria
Description: partial 16S ribosomal RNA
Rfam family: Bacterial small subunit ribosomal RNA
Source: RNAcentral